This 655-nucleotide long non-coding RNA is filed under the name Salmo salar (Atlantic salmon). Its description in RNAcentral is "lncRNA (ENSSSAG00000101322.1)". Lineage: Eukaryota; Metazoa; Chordata; Actinopteri; Salmoniformes; Salmonidae. The record is from RNAcentral.
CACUAGCAGGCCUACUGGACUGAAUGGAUACAUCUCCACGUGUGGAGGUGCUGGCUCCACCACUAUCACUAGCAUGUCUACUUGACUGAGUGGAUACAUCUCCACGUGUGGAGGUGCUGGCUCCACCACUAUCACUAGCAGGCCUACUGGACUGAGUGGGUACUGGCUCCACCACUAUCACUAGCAGGUCUACUGGACUGACUGGACACAUCUCCACCACUAUCACUAGCAGGUCUACUGGACUGAGUGGAUACAUCUCCACCACUAUCACUAGCAGGUCUACUGGACUGAGUGGAUACAUCUCCACCACUAUCACUAGCAGGUCUACUGGACUGAGUGGAUACAUCCCCACCACUAUCACUAGCAGGUCUACUGGACUGAGUGGAUACAUCUCCACCACUAACACUAGCAGGUCUACUGGACUGAGUGGAUACAUCCCCACCACUAUCACUAGCAGGUCUACUGGACUGAGUGGAUACAUCUCCACCACUAACACUAGCAGGUCUACUGGACUGAGUGGAUACAUCUCCACCACUAUCACUAGCAGGUCUACUGGACUGAGUGGAUACAUCUCCACCACUAUCACUAGCAGGUCUACUGGACUGAGUGGAUACAUCUCCACCACUAUCACUAGCAGGUCUACUGGACUGAGUGG